RNAcentral lists this ribosomal RNA (500 nucleotides) under uncultured bacterium. RNAcentral describes it as "bacterial SSU rRNA". It matches the Rfam family "Bacterial small subunit ribosomal RNA", at positions 62 to 543 of the family's 1533-position model. The record is from RNAcentral.
UCGAACGCGAAAGGGGCUUCGGCCCUGAGUAGAGUGGCGAACGGGUGAGUAACACGUGGGUGACCUACCUUCGAAUGGGGGAUAACGUCCCGAAAGGGGCGCUAAUACCGCAUAACAUCCUGCCUUUGAAGAGGUGGAGAUCAAAGCUGGGGAUCGCAAGACCUGGCGUUUGAAGAGGGGCCCGCGUCCGAUUAGCUAGUUGGUGAGGUAAUGGCUCACCAAGGCGACGAUCGGUAGCCGGCCUGAGAGGGCGGACGGCCACACUGGGACUGAGACACGGCCCAGACCCCUACGGGAGGCAGCAGUGGGGAAUUGUUCGCAAUGGGCGCAAGCCUGACGACGCAACGCCGCGUGGAGGAUGAAGGUCUUCGGAUUGUAAACUCCUGUUGCCCGGGACGAACUACUUCGACCUAACACGUCGAAGUUUGACGGUACCGGGUGAGGAAGCCCCGGCUAACUCUGUGCCAGCAGCCGCGGUAAUACAGAGGGGGCAAGCGUUG